RNAcentral lists this ribosomal RNA (301 nucleotides) under uncultured bacterium. RNAcentral's name for it is "partial 16S ribosomal RNA". It matches the Rfam family "Bacterial small subunit ribosomal RNA", at positions 509 to 809 of the family's 1533-position model. The record is from RNAcentral.
CAGUAGCCGGUAACACGGAGGGGGCUAGCGUUGUUCGGAAUUACUGGGCGUAAAGCGCACGUAGGCGGCUUGGUAAGUUAGAGGUGAAAGCCUGGAGCUCAACUCCAGAAUUGCCUUUAAGACUGCCGAGCUAGCAGGUGAGAGAGGUAAGUGGAAUUCCGAGUGUAGAGGUGAAAUUCGUAGAUAUUCGGAAGAACACCAGUGGCGAAGGCGGCUUACUGGCUCAUACUGGACGCUGAGGUGCGAAAGCGUGGGGAGCAAACAGGAUUAGAUACCCGUGUAGUCCCUGUCUCUUAUACAC